Molecule: microRNA precursor, 190 nt
Filed under: Oryza glumipatula
Lineage: Eukaryota; Viridiplantae; Streptophyta; Magnoliopsida; Poales; Poaceae
Description: MIR812 microRNA precursor family
Rfam family: MIR812 microRNA precursor family
Source: Rfam by way of RNAcentral
UUUAAACGCAGUAAUAAGUUUUCGUGUCCAACUUUGAUUGUCCAGCUUAUUUUAAAUUUUAUGAUUAAAAUUUUUGUUGUUAUUAGAUGAUAAAACACGAAUAGUAUUUAUGCAUAACUUCUGUUUUUUUUAGUUUUUCUUAAAAAAAAUUCAAAUAAGACCGAGGGAGUACUCGAUGGCUACGCUUAAA